UUUAGGUGGGUGCGGAAACUG
Molecule: non-coding RNA, 21 nt
Filed under: Arabidopsis thaliana (thale cress)
Lineage: Eukaryota; Viridiplantae; Streptophyta; Magnoliopsida; Brassicales; Brassicaceae
Source: RNAcentral